CCAUCCACAAACUCUCAAUUCCUCUCAUCCUCUUCCUUUUUUCCUAUUUUGAUUAGGAUUCCAAAACCCUGGCCCAUGAACCCAAUCAUAGCUGCAUCCACGAACCCAAACUCAUUUGAAGCCCGCUUGAAUGAAGCCCUAUGUGCUAACCAGCCAUGCUUGAAGAUCCAACCGCACCCAAAUCACUACCGCAUGAAGAACCCAUGCGCACGC
RNAcentral lists this long non-coding RNA (213 nucleotides) under Elaeis guineensis (African oil palm). RNAcentral's name for it is "long non-coding RNA (EGUI_LNC003826)". The record is from RNAcentral. Lineage: Eukaryota; Viridiplantae; Streptophyta; Magnoliopsida; Arecales; Arecaceae.